This 248-nucleotide ribosomal RNA is filed under the name uncultured bacterium. Its description in RNAcentral is "partial 16S ribosomal RNA". It matches the Rfam family "Bacterial small subunit ribosomal RNA", at positions 524 to 771 of the family's 1533-position model. The record is from RNAcentral.
UACGUAGGGGGCAAGCGUUGUCCGGAUUUAUUGGGCGUAAAGAGCGUGUAGGCGGCUAGGUAGGUCCGUUGUGAAAACUCGAGGCUCAACCUCGAGACGUCGAUGGAAACCAUCUAGCUAGAGUCCGGAAGAGGAGAGUGGAAUUCCUGGUGUAGCGGUGAAAUGCGCAGAUAUCAGGAAGAACACCCGUGGCGAAGGCGGCUCUCUGGUACGUGACUGACGCUGAGACGCGAAAGCGUGGGGAGCGA